RNAcentral lists this long non-coding RNA (4995 nucleotides) under Homo sapiens (human). RNAcentral describes it as "HSALNT0123340". The record is from RNAcentral. Lineage: Eukaryota; Metazoa; Chordata; Mammalia; Primates; Hominidae.
GCGGGGCGAGGAGAAGGGGCGGGGCGAGUACUGCUCCAAGAUAUGGCAACCGUGACAGCUUUGCGAGUAGCUCCAGGUCCCCUGCUGCUCCGUGAGAAAUCAAACUUCUGGCAAUGACGAAGCAUGAAGCCAGCAUCUCAGGGAGAGGUAGUGACAUAAUUACACGAUAAGACAAGCCGCCUGGUCUCGCUGUCACUUGGCAGGCAAGAGAGGUUCGGGAACAACCAGGCUCCCCUUUGGCAUGGCAGAACUGCUCUGGACUCGGGAAGGCUUCAUUUCUGAUUCCUGAAUGCGGAUUACUAUUUUAAAAAAGCCUAAAAACUCUGGUCAUGGAUAUUAGACACUGUUAUUGUACUUUGUGAAGAAUUUACUCCUUCAGGAUCAAUUACACACGGGCUCAUCAGCACCUUUGUCAAUAAAGGAACAAGAACCAUGUGGCAUCUAUGGAUGUGGUGAGGUGAGAAAACUGACACUUGGAGAGGUAGAGUAGCUUUAUUUACUUCACACAAGCUUUUGAUGAAUUUCAAGUCUCAACCUAGAAGUCUUCCUCUAAGGUUCGUGCUUUCACGCACCUGUAAUUCAAAUACUGAUGAAAACAAAACUAUUGCCCUCCUACCAAAUGGGAAAUUAAUGUUAUGACUGGAUAAGACAAUUGUGAAGAAACUGCACUUCGAGGUUGUCUGUCUCCGUAUUCCGAUGGAAAAGGCUGGACUUUAGAAGCAUUGCUCGCUCCUUCAGUUUCUAACAAGAUGGCUGUUAUAAAAAGGACAAGAGAUAACAAGUGUUGGUGAUGGUGUGGAGAGAAGGGAACCUUUGUACACUGCUGGUUAAAAUGUAAGUUAGUACAGCCAUUAUGGAAAACAGUAUGAAAGUUCCUGAGAAUCUAAAAAUAGAACUACCAUAUGGCUCAGCAAUCCCUCCUAUGAAUUAUAUAUCAACAGGAAAUGAAAUCAGCAUCUGAUAGAGAUAUCUUCACUCCCCUCUUCUCCGUGCCCCACCACAGCAUUGCUCCCAACAGCCAAGCCAUGGGAUGAAGUUACUGUGCAUUGAUGGAUGAGUGGAGAAAAGAAAAUGUGGGGGAGGUGUUUGUGCAUGUAUGUGUGUGUGUGUAUAAUAUAUAAUAAUAUAAUAUUUUUCAGCUUUUAAGAAGUUGAAGAUACUGCCAUUUGUGAUAACAUAAAUGAAUCUGGAGGAUAUUAAGCUAAGUAAAAUAACUUAGGGAGAGAGAAAAAUACUGCAUAAUUUCUGUUACAUAUGAAAUCUUUAAAAAGGUUUAAUACAUAGAGACAUGAUAGAGUGAUGAUUUGGGGGAUAAGAGACACAAGUCAACGUUUCAGUUAUAUAAAAUAAAUGAAUCUAGAGGACUAAAGUACAAUUUAAAGGUUAUAGUUACUAUUUUUAUAUUAUAUACUAGUGAUUUUUGAACAGGGUAAACUUUAGGUGCUUUGACACCAAAAGGAAACUACAUGAGUUCAUGUAUAUGUUAAAUUGUUUGACCGCAGUCAUCAUUGAUAUGUAUAUGUAUAUAUAUAUAAUUAUGGGCUCAUUAAAUUUAAAUGCUAUAAAUAGGUAACAAAGAAUAAAGUUAAUUGAAAAACUGCAUCAUUAGACUUGAUUUUGCCUACAUGAAAAACUGAAACUGCCUCCUAAAUAUUAAUAUUUGUACAUCGCAUAAAGUUUAUAUGUUGGAAAUAUGUUUAAAGAAAAGGAAUUAUAAAUUUUAAUAAACACAGAAUGACACAGUAAAUGCAAAACAGUAGAAAGAGAUGAAAAUCUGAUUAAUCAGAGUGGUUAAUGCUUAGAUAUAAUUAAUGAUGUGUUAGGAGCAAUUUCAAGCCACUUCCACAUAGAUUUAAUACCAAAGAGUUUAUGUGUACACAGAGAUUAAAUAAAAAAAUACAUUUACAAUGAUAUUAAUUGAUAUUAAAAUGAUUAUGAAAUCAACUGUCUGCUAUAGAAAAAAUAGAGCAUUAAGUAACUAGCAGUAAGUUUGAAACUUUGUUAGAAAGUUAAUCAAGUGAAAAAGUGAUCAGCAUUUUUGAGCACUAAAUAGAGGAUGGACAAAAUUUUCUUUUCUUUCUUUCUUUUUUUUUUUUUUUUGAGAUCGAGUCUGUCUCUGUCGCCCAGGCUGGAGUACAGCGGCGCAAUCUUGAUCUCGGCUCACUGCAAGCUCUGCCUCCCGGGUUCACGCCAUUCUCCUGCAUUAGCCUCCUGAGUACCUGGGACUGCAGGCGCCCACAGCCAUCCCUGGCUAAUUUUUUGUAUUUUUAGUGGAGACGGGGUUUCACCGUGUUAGUCAAGAUGGUCACGAUCUCCUGAGCUCAUGAUCCACCUGCCUCAGCCUCUUAAAGUGCUGGGAUUACAGGCGUGAGCCACCGCACCUGGCCUAUAAUUUUCCAAUACCAAGAAAAUCAUUUGAUAUUGCAAGAUUUUAAACCUAAAUUAGUGUCUUUAACUUCACAAAGGUAGAAAUCCUAUAAGUAAUGUUUCUUGAACACUUUAAAAUGACAAUAAAAACUAAAGUGUAACCAACAAGUAACAUGUAGCCACAUGCAAAUUUCCUUUUAGAUUGUUUUAUUAUUUUUUUAACUUUAUGUGAAUUUUUAUUUUACUAGGUUUUUGGGGAACAGGUGGUGUUUGGUUAGAGGGAUAAGUUUUUAGUGGUGAUCUCUGAGAUGUUGGUGCAGUGUACACUGUACCCAAUGGGUAGCCUUUGAUCCCUAAGAUUGUUUUAAAUGACAUCUAGAUUAAAUAGAACAUUCAAACUGACAUUACUUUUACAGCACCAGAGAAAUGCUAAGGAGGAAGCUUUGUGACUGAAACCAAAAGACCUGAAUUUAUAUAUUUAAUUUUACUAAUUAACAUUCUUAAUUUUAUAGAAAAACAGCAAUUCUGCCCACAUGCAGGAGUUAUGCAUUAAAGUGGAGCAUGAUCACUUCAGACAUUUGUCCAAAACAUAAAAAUUCUUCCAAGUAUUAAGAAAAUAUUUAUACUUCACAGAUAUUGUUAGUGUAUAAUACAUGGGCAUUGAGAUGUUUCAAAUGAGAAAAAUUGAAAUUUCUCAUGGGGCAUUGUUCUACACAAAAUAUUUAUGUAAAAUUUUUUACUCAUAUAUGCAUGUGGACAUUUGAUGUUUUAGCACAGAAUAACAUAUUCUCAAAGGUCAUUUAAUGUAGUAAAUUAAAAAUCUUUAAAGUUUACAAGAAUUUUAAAACUGCCCAGCAGAACUGAUAGAAAAAUAUGGGAGCUUCCCAGGACCAGAAGUGAAUCAAGAGGCAAAUUCACAGGAGUCAUGAAAGUGAGAAGUUAGAGCUGCCUUCAGGUACAGCUCUGAUUGCAGGGCUGAUUACACAGACCUCAAGCCUGUGAAAAUCGUCCACUCUGCCCCUUGGAAUAUACAUACAGAGAAAAUUACUAACUGGGGCAUCCCAAAUGUGAGAUCUCUAUAAUGUAAGAACCAAAUUGCAAUUAUGAAGCACACAAAAGAAGCUACCCAAAAAAGGGAAAGAAAUUAUACAUCACGUAAACUUCACAGAUUGGAAACGUAUUUAAAAUAAGUAACACAAAUAGGGAAAGAGAAUAUCAAAAUAAUUUUGAAAACACAUGAAGUUCUAAAGCGGGCACUGGGGGCAGUGGCUCAUGCCUGUACUCCCAAGCACUUUGCGGUGGCCAAAGCAGGAGGAUCACUUGAGGCCAGGAGUUUGAGAUCAGCCUGGGCAACAAAGCAAAAGUUGUCUCUACAACAAAUAGAUAUAAAAAAAUAAGCCAGGCACAGUGGUGUGUGCUUGUACUGUCAGCUACUGGGGAGGUGGAGGUGAGAGGGUCUUUUGAGACUGGGAAUUUGAGGUUGCAGUGAGCUAUGACCACCACUGAACUCAAGCCUGGGUGACAGAGAUUCUUUCUCAAACACACACACACACACACACACACACACACACACACACACACACACACACUAAACAGGCAUGUUUUGCAAAGACUCAAACAGAAAUUGAACAACUGAAACUUAAAUAAAUUUAAUAUACAGUGUAUGGUUUAAUUAUUAAACCAAGUUAAUAACAACAGGAUUAGUGAACUAGAAUACUGAGAUGAGUAAAUAAAAGAACUACAGAAAAAUGAAAUGAUCACAAUACAAAAAUGAGUAUACAUGUACAAAGAAUAAAAUGAAAUGAAAUCAAAUACAUUGGUUUCACUAGCUUACAUAUAAAUAACAAAUCACAUUAAUAACAAAUAUUUAUAAAUUUCUGAAACUGAAUAUCAGAUGGGAACCCUUGAAUGCAGAAGUGUAUUGUGAUUAAUAGUGGCCUACCAAUAAAAAAUACUCAACAGAAAUAAAAGUCAAACUGCAUAACAGCAAAGAAAAGAAAAAAUUUUAAAGCCAUAAGAGAGAAAAGAAGAGAGAACCAAUGAAGGUGAGAGCAAAGUCUUCACAGCCCGUGUUCAGUCAGAAAACAGAGAAAUAAGUAAGAGUGCUGAGAUAAGUCACUGUUCAACCAAUAAUUAGAUACUUCACUAACAUAUUUUGAAUAAGUGAGGAUGCACUACAUGAUUUCCAAAAGUAAAAAAGUGGGAAAUCUUAUUACCAAUAUGAGCUUAUUAAGAAUACACUUCAAAAAGAAAAAAAAUUUAAAAUGGAGUUCAAGGAAUCAAAAUGAAAUGCAAGAAACUGCAAACAUAUUGGGCUAUCAAAUCAUGGUGGACAAUGAACAAAAGGAUCCAUCAAGUCUUUGGCAGCAUCAGUUUCCAAAUGAUUUACAUAAAAUAAAAGUGCUAAACUCUAUACAAUGUAAUGAAAUAAAUUAUCAAAUCCUCUGAUACUUGAAUAAUUUAACUGAUGUUAGAAUCUCCUUUUCAGAUAAUUAUUUUCAUGGAAAAAAAUAUACAAUACUUCUGUCUCAUCAUUUGCAGAAUAUCAAUUAUCCUUUUUUCAGAACUUAUUAGCACCAAAGGGCUCACAGUGGCAUAGGCCCUGGUCACAAGCCUCUGGACACCCAG